GACGAACGCUGGCGGCGUGCUUAACACAUGCAAGUCGAACGGAAAGGCCCUGCUUUUGUGGGGUGCUCGAGUGGCGAACGGGUGAGUAACACGUGAGUAACCUGCCCUUGACUUUGGGAUAACUUCAGGAAACUGGGGCUAAUACCGGAUAGGAGCUCCUGCUGCAUGGUGGGGGUUGGAAAGUUUCGGCGGUUGGGGAUGGACUCGCGGCUUAUCAGCUUGUUGGUGGGGUAGUGGCUUACCAAGGCUUUGACGGGUAGCCGGCCUGAGAGGGUGACCGGCAACAUUGGGACUGAGAUACGGCCCAGACUCCUACGGGAGGCAGCAGUGGGGAAUAUUGCACAAUGGGCGGAAGCCUGAUGCAGCAACGCCGCGUGCGGGAUGACGGCCUUCGGGUUGUAAACCGCUUUCGCCUGCGACGAAGCGUGAGUGACGGUAAUGGGUAAAGAAGCACCGGCUAACUACGUG
This 468-nucleotide ribosomal RNA is filed under the name uncultured bacterium. RNAcentral's name for it is "partial 16S ribosomal RNA". It matches the Rfam family "Bacterial small subunit ribosomal RNA", at positions 28 to 507 of the family's 1533-position model. The record is from RNAcentral.